GGUCGCUUAGCUCAGUUGGUUAGAGCGUGGUGCUAAUAAGCCUUCUUAUCACUUGAUAACGCCAAGGUCGCAGGUUCGACCCCUGCAGUGAUCA
Molecule: transfer RNA, 94 nt
Filed under: Pyronema domesticum
Lineage: Eukaryota; Fungi; Ascomycota; Pezizomycetes; Pezizales; Pyronemataceae
Description: tRNA-Ile
Rfam family: tRNA
About the family: Transfer RNA (tRNA) molecules are approximately 80 nucleotides in length. Their secondary structure includes four short double-helical elements and three loops (D, anti-codon, and T loops).
Source: RNAcentral